RNAcentral lists this ribosomal RNA (467 nucleotides) under uncultured bacterium. RNAcentral's name for it is "partial 16S ribosomal RNA". It matches the Rfam family "Bacterial small subunit ribosomal RNA", at positions 28 to 507 of the family's 1533-position model. The record is from RNAcentral.
GACGAACGCUGGCGGCGUGCUUAACACAUGCAAGUCGAACGGAAAGGCCCUGCUUUUGUGGGGUGCUCGAGUGGCGAACGGGUGAGUAACACGUGAGUAACCUGCCCUUGACUUUGGGAUAACUUCAGGAAACUGGGGCUAAUACCGGAUAGGAGCUCCUGCUGCAUGGUGGGGGUUGGAAAGUUUCGGCGGUUGGGGAUGGACUCGCGGCUUAUCAGCUUGUUGGUGGGGUAGUGGCUUACCAAGGCUUUGACGGGUAGCCGGCCUGAGAGGGUGACCGGCCACAUGGGAACUGGGAUACGGCCAGACUCCUACGGGAGGCAGCAGUGGGGAAUAUUGCACAAUGGGCGGAAGCCUGAUGCAGCAACGCCGCGUGCGGGAUGACGGCCUUCGGGUUGUAAACCGCUUUCGCCUGUGACGAAGCGUGAGUGACGGUAAUGGGUAAAGAAGCACCGGCUAACUACGUG